RNAcentral lists this long non-coding RNA (990 nucleotides) under Homo sapiens (human). Its description in RNAcentral is "HSALNT0327793". Lineage: Eukaryota; Metazoa; Chordata; Mammalia; Primates; Hominidae. The record is from RNAcentral.
GCCAAAUUAAAGAAGGAUGUGAAGGUUAGGCUAAGAAGUGUGAUGAGCUUUAUUUAGGUAAUAGGCAAUGAGGAGAAAUUGAAACAUGAAGGAACAUAAUUUGAGGUGUGAUUAUUUGAGUUUUUAAAAUAUUAUCACUGUGCAUCAGAAUGGGUUAGGGAAGGCUUAAAUCCUGGAUGCUGGCUCAGCACCUAUUAGAGCAAUUAAAAUGAGAAAUGAUGCAGACUAAACUAGAAUUUCAGGUAAAAAUGGGAAAAAUAGGCGUUAAAAAAUGGUAUAAACGUUAAAAAACUACACUUGACUGAGUUAGAAUAUGGAGGAAAAGGAAGUAUGGAGAUCAAAAGAAAACAUCAGGAUUUGGGAGCUUGGACACAGGGGAAUGACAACGUAAAGGGAUUAUUUCAAAGAUAAUUUGGCAUAGACACUUCUAGACUCUCCUCUUCAUCUGUGUGUGGGUUUUGCUUUUCCAUCUUUUAUGGAGUAUGAUUUACUUUCAAAUCGCCUCUGAAGAAACCUAUUAGUCAGUCAACUGCAGAAAAACUUCUCCAUAAUAUCUACCUGGAAUAUAUCUUGCUUCCAUUCACCUUCUUCCUUUGUCAAUGACUCUCAGGAGGAAUACAGUCUUUGUCAGUCAUAAAGGAAGGAAGAGUCAAUGACAUAGGAUCCCAAACACGGCUAAAAUGUCUCAUAUCUAAUGCUGUACUCCCCCUCUUAACCAAAAUUUGUGUCAGGAAAAGGCACAAAACUCCACCAAAGGAUUACGGUACCUUAAUCCAAGGAAGUUGUAUAGAGGCUAGUAUUUAAAAUUGUCAUUUUGAUAGGCCCCACUAGUGGAUUUUAUCCCCUGUUAGGUUGGACAAUCCUCAGUAUAUACACCUUACUACACAAAGAUUUUCAUCAUAAUUUAUUGACUUUCUGCUAUGAGAGAUGAGUGUGCUCGUGUGACACCCAAUUAAACACUUAAUCCAUUCAAUUACAUGAAGUACAAAU